UCCCUGGUAGUCUAGUGGUUAGGAUUUGGCAUUUUCACUGCUGUGGCCCAGAUUCAGUCCCUGGUCAGGCAA
Molecule: non-coding RNA, 72 nt
Organism: Bos taurus (domestic cattle)
Lineage: Eukaryota; Metazoa; Chordata; Mammalia; Artiodactyla; Bovidae
Source: Rfam